AUUGAACGCUGGCGGCAGGCUUAACACAUGCAAGUCGAACGAGUGGCGGACGGGUGAGUAAUGUCUGGGAAACUGCCUGAUGGAGGGGGAUAACUACUGGAAACGGUAGCUAAUACCGCAUACUAUCGGAUGUGCCAAGAUGGGGUUAGCUAGUGGGUGGGGUAAAGGCGCACCUAGGCGACGAUCCCUAGCUGGUCUGAGAGGAUGACCAGCGGGACUGGAACUGAGACGCGGGCCAGACUCCUACGGGAGGCAGCAGUGGGAAAUAUUGCACAAUGGGCGCAAGCCUGAUGCAGCCAUGCCGCGGGUGUUAAGAAGGCCUUCGGGUUGUAAAGUACUUUCAGCGGGGAGGCGUUACCCGCAGAAGAAGCACCGGCUAACUCCGUGCCAGCAGCCGCGGUAAUAC
RNAcentral lists this ribosomal RNA (406 nucleotides) under uncultured bacterium. Its description in RNAcentral is "partial 16S ribosomal RNA". It matches the Rfam family "Bacterial small subunit ribosomal RNA", at positions 29 to 526 of the family's 1533-position model. The record is from RNAcentral.